Molecule: long non-coding RNA, 475 nt
Filed under: Mytilus galloprovincialis (Mediterranean mussel)
Lineage: Eukaryota; Metazoa; Mollusca; Bivalvia; Mytilida; Mytilidae
Source: RNAcentral
UUGUUGGGUUUUGAGUGUGUUUGUACUUCGCGUUGUGUUCGUUUAGGGUUUGACUAACAAUAAAUACAAUCGUGUGGUUCAACAUUCAUUCAAACAAGCAUAGAAUCAUAAAUACAAUAUACAUAGAAACGCGACGUCACAUCGUCAGUGGCGACGGCACACAUACGAACGCAUAACGUUCCCGCAAUCCUCGACAUCCUGGGGCCACCGAAAUGGAGAUUACUAAAGAAAAAUGAUAAAAUUUACAAUCACAAAAGAAUACAAAAAGAAUUUACUUUUACUGUCUCUGUAAUUUACUAUACUUAAAUUACUCCUGAAAUUUACUUUAACUAAUUCACAAUUGUCUUUCAUUUUGCCCCUCCGUCAUUGAAUGUAAUUGAUACGUAAAAGUCCUUUUUGGUUUACUUUUGGCGGGAACGAAGUAAAUAGUGCGUUUUACAAUUUUCACUAGUUGGUCCUUGUAAUUCCAACGGAU